This 505-nucleotide long non-coding RNA is filed under the name Heterocephalus glaber (naked mole-rat). RNAcentral describes it as "lncRNA (ENSHGLG00100040017.1)". Lineage: Eukaryota; Metazoa; Chordata; Mammalia; Rodentia; Bathyergidae. The record is from RNAcentral.
GGGUUCUUGGCGACCACACCCAGAUCUCAGGGAAACCGGGCUAGGCCCAGGGCUCCAGAAAUCUCCCACUUCUCAAGGACCCACCCGGGAGGGAGCCUGAGCCAGCAGCAGAGAGCAGGGCAGGCAGAGGGACCCUUGGGGCGCGCCGCUGGGAGUCUCCGCCCGAGGACCCAGCCCGCAGAGGCCAGGCCACACGCCGCACGCCACUGCCCAGCAGGAAGCACCGGGCCAGCCGCUGUAGGUGAUAAAAUGGCUCGACUUUGCCCAGCCUUCAGGUGGCCUGUGGCGUGCACGCCUUCCUAGUCCCACCAGGAGCCAUCGACCCCACCCGCUUCUCUGCCUUCUCUCCUGCACUCCGUCCCAACCCACCACCACCAUGGCUGCCCUGAUCGUAGAGAACUUCCGCUUCCUGUCACUCUUCAAGAGCAAGGAUGUGAUGAUUUUCAAUGGGCUGGUGGCACUGGGCACAGUAAGGGCAGCCAGGAGCUGUUCUCUGUGUGGCCCU